This 409-nucleotide ribosomal RNA is filed under the name Neisseria sicca. Its description in RNAcentral is "bacterial SSU rRNA". It matches the Rfam family "Bacterial small subunit ribosomal RNA", at positions 30 to 428 of the family's 1533-position model. Lineage: Bacteria; Pseudomonadati; Pseudomonadota; Betaproteobacteria; Neisseriales; Neisseriaceae. The record is from RNAcentral.
AUUGAACGCUGGCGGCAUGCUUUACACAUGCAAGUCGGACGGCAGCACAGAGAAGCUUGCUUCUUGGGUGGCGAGUGGCGAACGGGUGAGUAACAUAUCGGAACGUACCGGGCAGUGGGGGAUAACUAAUCGAAAGAUUAGCUAAUACCGCAUAUCUUCUGAGGAAGAAAGCAGGGGACCAUUUGGCCUUGCGCUGUUUGAGCGGCCGAUAUCUGAUUAGCUAGUUGGUGGGGUAAAGGCCUACCAAGGCGACGAUCAGUAGCGGGUCUGAGAGGAUGAUCCGCCACACUGGGACUGAGACACGGCCCAGACUCCUACGGGAGGCAGCAGUGGGGAAUUUUGGACAAUGGGCGCAAGCCCUGAUCCAGCCCAUGCCGCCGUGUUCUGAAGAAAGGCCCUUGGGUUGUAA